Molecule: long non-coding RNA, 698 nt
Filed under: Eutrema salsugineum
Lineage: Eukaryota; Viridiplantae; Streptophyta; Magnoliopsida; Brassicales; Brassicaceae
Description: long non-coding RNA (ESAL_LNC001691)
Source: RNAcentral
GAGUCGAACCGUAAGCAUCCUUGAGUCCUGAAACGGCGUCGUAUUUUCCUGUGAGUAAAAAUUCCUCGAGGAUUGCCACGUGUCCGCCUCUUGCAGCACUGUGGACCCCUCUUUUAACCAUCUCCUGCUUUACUAUUAACUGUUUCUCGGUUAGUUUCUCCCCGUCGGUUUCUUCGACGCCGGCAAUAUCAGCCGGCAGCAAAGCGAAAUCAAGAAGAAGACGAAAAACGUCGUCGUUUCUACCUCUCGCCGCCGCGUAGAGAAUAUCGGUUACGCCGUAUUCUCCUUCUCCGAACACGAGAAGCGGAUCUCUCUCAAGAAGCUUCUUCACGAAUUCCAAAUCUCCGGCGGAAGCAGCGGUGUAUAACAGCCAGCCUCCGUAUCCUGCUCUGACGAGGGAAUUGUCUCCGUUUCCGAUUUCGCACUCUUCCAACAGUCUCCUCGCGACGCGGGAGCGGUUUAACGCCACGUGGCAGUUAUCUCCGUCUCCGUCGUCCCAGACUGUUUCGAGGCGGCGGAUACGGCGGAGGGAAGUGAGUUUGACGAGGAGGUUUGUGUCUUGAUGAAGCAGCUCGAUGACGACGUCGUAUAGUCCAUUCGCGGCGGCGCAAUCGAUUGGUGAAGCGUACCACCACUGGUCUCCGGUGCUUUCCCACCGGAGAGGAAAUAUCGGCGGUGGCAUUUUCCUUAUCCGGUUU